GCAGGCAGCUUGCCACCCUCUGCUGUGACCAUAUCUUGACCACCCUCGCCCCCAGGGACAGGUGCUCUUCAUUCGCUGCUACCAUGUGGGAACAGCCAUGACUAACGCAGAAUCUUGUUUAAAAAGAGCAUUUACAUUUUUCCCUAUAAACCUUAAGCUUCAUUUCCCACUGCCUGUUGAGGCUUUCUGCGCUAGUGAAACGACAGGAAGAGGUGUAUACUGAACAUAAAUUCAUACAAAAAAGUGUGCAUAGCAUAGAUGUGAAGCCCUGUGAAUUGUCCCAACAAACCCAGGCACAGCCAUAACAAGCAGCAAGACCCCCCGCCCCCGACACACACACGCUUUAACUCACCUGAAGGGUAAGUGAAGGGAAUUCAUUAUCCUGACUUCACCAUCCCAGGUUAGUGUUGGCCAACAGGGAGACCUUUAAAGUCCUGGAUAUGCCUUAACAGGGGCAGUGUACAAUUUAACCCCUAGGGCAAGCGAGUGGGAGAAUCCAUGACCUUACACUCCGGCUCUGGCUUGAAUGGGACCUUCAGGGUGGGAGAGCGACUUUGGUGUCCGAAAAUCCACCUCUGGAACCACGCGAGAGUAGCUGAAGGCCAGGACGUCACAGAGAACCCAGGUCCCGAGGCUCGCUUGCAGGACAGGUGCCCGGAUGUGCCCUCCCCCUCCCGAAGCAGCCUGCUGUUCCACGCCGACCAAGGCCAUGCGCACACGCACGUCGAGUUAAAAUACUCCAACGCUUGAAGAAUACAGGAUGAGACUUCUCCCUCUCACCCUGCCCGCCAUGGUCAUGUUCUCCCCUCCUUUAGUAACUCCUGUUCUUCACUUCCUGGACAUUCUUCCAGCGGCUUUUCAACACCUAUACAGUAUUUUUCUCUCCGUUUGUUGCUCUGUCUUUAUUUGUUUAACAAUCUGCCUUGGAGAUUUUCAUACAUUCGUACACAAAUGACUUCCACAUUCUUUUUCACAGCUACCUAGCAUUCCAUGGUUUACCUAUAGUGUGACUUUUAACUUUAUUGAAAAAUAAUUCACAUACUGUAAGAUUUACCUUUUUAAAGUAUGUGUUCAAUGGCUUUUAGUACAGUUAUGCAACUAAGGGCACCGUUUUAGAAAUUUCAUUACCCCUAAAAAAUCCUACAACCCUUAGUUAUCACCCUUCUAAGGCCCGUACCUCAGAUGACCACAUUUUAUAUAAUGACAUUUUAUAUAAAUGACAUUAUAAAUGAAAUCAUACCAUAUGUGGUCCUUUGUGACUGGCUUUUCUUUACUAAGCAUAAUGUUCCCAGGGUCAUCCAUAUGGCACCAUGUGUAGACACUUCAUUCUUUGUUAUUGCUGCCUAAUAUUCCAUUAUAUGAACAUCCCACAUUUUGUUUAUGUGUUCAUCACUUGAUGGACAUUUGUAUUUUUCCCAUAUAGGGGCUAUUGUGAAUAAUACUGCUAUAAAAGUUCAG
This 1458-nucleotide long non-coding RNA is filed under the name Heterocephalus glaber (naked mole-rat). RNAcentral describes it as "lncRNA (ENSHGLG00000035803.1)". Lineage: Eukaryota; Metazoa; Chordata; Mammalia; Rodentia; Bathyergidae. The record is from RNAcentral.